GCCGGGCGUGAUGGCUCAACGCCUGUAAUCCCAGCACUUUGGGAGGCCGAGGCUGGCGGAUCACGAGGUCAGGAGAUCGAGACCAUCCUGGCUAACACGGUGAAAUCCCGUGUCUACUAAAAUCAUAAAAAAAUUAGCCAGGCAUGGUGGCAGCUGGGACUACAGGCGCCCGCCACCAUGCCCGGCUAAUUUUUUUGUAUUUUUAGUAGAGACGGGGUUGCACCGUGUUAGCCAGGAUGGUUUCGAUCUCUCCUGACCUCGUGAUCUGCCCGCCUCGG
This is an unclassified non-coding RNA of Pongo abelii (Sumatran orangutan), 278 nucleotides long. It matches the Rfam family "Metazoan signal recognition particle RNA". From Rfam's summary of the family: The signal recognition particle (SRP) is a universally conserved ribonucleoprotein. The record is from Ensembl. NCBI's taxonomy places the organism in Eukaryota, Metazoa, Chordata, Mammalia, Primates, Hominidae.